This is an RNA transcript of Schistocerca serialis cubense, 4018 nucleotides long. It is a transcript of the gene named huntingtin-interacting protein 1, with no coding region annotated. The record is from RefSeq and is a predicted model, not a curated record. The transcript is spliced from 22 exons. Lineage: Eukaryota; Metazoa; Arthropoda; Insecta; Orthoptera; Acrididae.
CCUGUCGUCAGUAGUGAGUGGAGGCUUGUGUUGUGUGGUGUUGGUCAGGGCUUGCGAAAUUAUAGCGUUUUAAAAUCACUUGCAAUGUCGUCGCUGUCGCUUCCGAGGGUUUUGCAGCAACGCAAGACCGGCUUAGAAUUGGAGAGGGAGAAUUUUGAAAAGAACCAGGCCAUCAGCAUCAGCAAGGCUAUCAACAAUAUGGAAACUCCAGUGAAGCAGAAACAUGUGAGAAGCACAAUCAUUGGAACUUUUCAAGAAAAAGGUGGAGCAACUUUCUGGGCAUGUGUGCUGCGACUGCCUUUGCAGGACAGUCGUAUUGUUGCGUGGAAGUUCUGUCAUGUUCUGCACAAGGUGCUGAGAGAAGGCCACCCACAGGUGUUACCAUAUUCACAACGUUACAGAGGGAAGAUUGAGGACCUGGGGAAAUAUUGGUGCCACUUGAGGGAGGGAUAUGGGAAAUUAAUACAAAUUUACUGCUCAUUACUGAUGACAAAAUUGGACUUCCAUAGACGUAAUCCUCGGUUUCCAGGAAACAUGCAAGUUACUCAAGAAGAACUUGAAAGUAUUGGAGAAAAUGAUAUAAAUAAUUACUUCCAGAUGUCAGUGGAGAUGUUUGACUACAUGGAUGAAAUUCUAAGUCUUCAGUCAGCAGUUUUUGGACAAUUAGACAUGUCCCGGUCGAAUUCAAUGACUAGUUGUGGACAGUGUCGCCUGGCUCCACUGAUACCAUGUAUACAAGACUCAUCACAACUCUAUGACUAUUGUGUGAAAAUACUUUUUAAAUUACAUGCAAGCUUACCACCAGAUACACUGGGUGGCCACAGAGAGAGGUUUCUUAAACAAUUUAAAGACCUGAGACAGUUCUACCUUACUGCAAAUACAAUGCAGUACUUCAAGUCCCUUAUACAAAUUCCGUUGUUGCCAGAGAAACCACCGAACUUCUUGGUGGAAGCCGAUCUUCGCAGUUAUGUGACACCAGUCGUAGUGCUUCCACCAGAGGAGAGUACUCAUGAAACAGAGUCUACUGAUGGUACCCUGAUUGAUACUACUGAUACGGGAUCAACUGGAGAGUUAUUGGAUUUACAUAGUCGAAAUGGUUCCAUAUCGCCAGAUGUACUAGCAGAAAGGGACAAUUUAAUUGAACACCUACAUAUGGAAAUAGCACGCCUUCGUCAAGAAAUUCAGAGACUAACAGCAGAGCACAAAAGGAUUGUGGAACAAUUGAAUGAGCGGAUAAUGGACUUGGAGACCCAACUAGCAACAAAGGACAGUGAACUUCUUCAGGAAAAACAGCUGAAGGAUGACCUACUUCAGCAGACAGAGGAUUUUUCAAGAUACCAGGAAACAGAAAAGAAGGCCAAAACAAUAGAGGAAAAGUUUCAGAAAUUAAAGGAGGUGUACACAAAACUGAGAGAGGAACAUAUUCAGCUAAUACGACAGAAAGCAGAUGUAGAUAAACAGUUACUUCAUGCAAGAACUGUAAGUGAUCAAACUCAGAGACUGCAAGCAGAAGCAGAAGCAAAAUUGCAGGAAAUGCAGUUUGAGAGAUCAAAAAUGGAGCAGAACCUUGUACAGUCAGCAAAUGAGGCUAGCGAGCAGGUAGCUGCACUGAAGGCUGCACAAGAAAAUGCAAAAUUGGAGAAUGAGACACUUGCAGCGCGAGUGGACUGGGUGUUAAAAGAGAAAAGUAAUCUUGAAAGUGAACUCCAUGAUUUGCUAUCACAGAAGGAAGAGUUAGAUCAACAGUUACAGGAAGCAGAAGCUAAGCAUAAAAAAUUGCAGGAUCAGUUAAAGAAAGAGGCAGAGGAUAGAAUGAAAAGCAUACUUGUAUCCUGUGUGGUGCAGGCUGAAACCAUAGUGCAGAGAGCAAUUCAUGAAGUUGACAAUCCAGCUUUAUCAGCAGUUACGUGUACACCAGAUUAUUUCCAAAGUCUGACUGAUCCUGUUGUUGCAUCAUUGGAUGACAUCAGUGCAUCGUACAAAAUGUUCCAUGACAACUCGGCAAACAUAGAUGACCUCUUAAAACAUAUUUCACAUGUUGCUCACCUAAUAGCUAAUUAUUUAAUUCAAGGAAAAACUACUUCAAACACAUCACCAGACAUAGAAUUUGGAGAGCGAAUUGCAGAAGCCUGCAAACAGGCUGGAACUGAGUCACUUGUACUUCUUGCAAGUGUAAAAUCAGUGGCUCCAUCAUCGUCUAUAACAGACAAUGCAAACACUGUUAAGCAGAAAGUUAAAGAUGUGACUGAUUUAAUGGAAAGACUGAUAAGUCAGUUAAAAGGAGACUCUGCAGAAAUGAUAGAAGAUCUAGUUGAGAAUGAACUGUCAAGUAUGGACAAAGCAAUAGAAGAGGCUGCAGCUAGAAUAGAGGAAAUGUUAAAUAAAUCCAGAGCUGCCGAUUCUGGUAUUAAGCUUGAAGUAAAUGAGAAGAUUCUAGAUUCUUGCACCAACUUGAUGAAAGCAAUUAGGUUGCUUGUUCAGAAAUCUAAACUUUUGCAAGCAGAAAUUAUUUCCCAAGGAAAGGGGACUGCAUCUACAAAGGAAUUUUAUAAACGAAAUCACCAGUGGACUGAAGGCUUGAUAUCAGCAGCAAAGUCUGUGGCAGUGGGAGCUCGUUUCUUAGUAUCGGCAGCAGACAAAGUUGUUAGUGGAAAUGGAAAAUUUGAACAGCUCGUUGUGGCAUCCCAAGAAAUUGCUGCAGGAACAGCACAGUUAGUUGUUGCAAGCAGAGUGAAAGCAGACAGGAAUAGUACUAACCUUGCUGCCCUGUCCCAAGCAUCAAAAGGUGUGACCCAGGCAACAGGUGGUGUUGUUGCAACUGCAAAGUCCUGCAGCCAAAUGGUAGUUGACAAUGAGGAGCUGGAUGUGAGUGGCUUGACUUUACAUCAAGCAAAACGGCUAGAAAUGGAGUCUCAGGUUAAAGUAAUUGAGCUUGAAGCAAACCUUCAGCAGGAACGUCUUCGACUGGCAGCACUCCGGCGGCAGCACUAUCAGCUAGCGGGGGUCACGGAAGGUUGGGAUCCAGAGGCUGAUGAGCAAGCACCCAGUACCCCUAAAUAAGUAAAUGAAGAUGCAGUGUACAUAUAAAAAGUAAUUGUAUAUAAUCUCUUGAGUCAUAGUCACCUCAUUAAUAUUAAACCAUGAAGAUGAAGUUUCGAGAUAAAAGCCUUCACCAUAAAAGAAAGGUAUAGACUCAGGCAGUCAUUGCCAUAACAAGAAGUUCAAUUUACCUCUGCAUCAUAACACUGCCAAACUGCAGGCUGGAGACUUCACAAGGAGAAUACUGUCCACAUUUAAUCCAAACCGGUAAACCAUUACCAAGUAUAACAGCAUCAUGAAAGAAGUGUUUCAACUGAUGAUGAAAUCGUGAAGGGAAAAGAUAAAGUUUUGACUGCAGACUGUGCAAUGUGAAGACACAGCCUACAAAUGAGGCUGAUCUGUAGCUGCUGAUGUAACUACAUCUGAGCCUUUUCCAUGUACCAAUCUUUUCUAUGUAUUUUUAUUUAUAUGUGAUAUCCACAGAGUAUAUCAACGGUAUUUAACACUAUUGAUUAAUGCCGUAAGCAAUGAUUGCAACUCAUUUCAUAAGAAGUUUUUGCCUUACAUUAAGUUGGGAAAGAGACAAAUGUAAAUAUUGUACGCAUCAUAAACAUCAUUAGAAUGUGUGGAAGUUUGAAUCAUUGAACUCAGGGACUGAAGUGUCUUUAAAAUAUGAAACUGUUAAUAAUAUUGUUUUCAAUUUUCCCAUGUAAGUCAUCACACUGGUCUUUAUUUAUUGAUUUCUAAUAUGUAUUAAAACAUAUCACCUCUCCAUUGACAAAUGAUAUAUGCUAACAGUUCUUAUUCAGCUGUAUGGUAAUAGUAAGAACUGCUGAUCAUACCAAAAUAUAGAUCAACAGGCCCCUCAGCCAUGUUGAUUGUGAAGUAUUUUACUCUACCAAAAUAACACCAAAAUCAAAUAAAUGUAAGUCAUAGAAAAUUUUUGUCAUUCAGUAAUAAAGAAAAUUUACAAACAUCA